Molecule: ribosomal RNA, 209 nt
Filed under: uncultured bacterium
Lineage: Bacteria
Description: partial 16S ribosomal RNA
Rfam family: Bacterial small subunit ribosomal RNA
Source: RNAcentral
CUCGUAGGUGGCCAACUAAGUCAGACGUGAAAUCCCUCGGCUUAACCGGGGAACUGCGUCUGAUACUGGAUGGCUUGAGUUUGGGAGAGGGACGCGGAAUUCCAGGUGUAGCGGUGAAAUGCGUAGAUAUCUGGAGGAACACCGGUGGCGAAGGCGGCGUCCUGGACCAACACUGACACUGAGGAGCGAAAGCCAAGGGGAGCAAACGG